AGCGCAGGCGGCCAAGUCAGUCUGAAGUGAAAGCCCGGGCUUAACCCCGGAAUAGCUUUGGAUACUGCCUGGCUUGAGUGUACGAUAGGAAAGCGGAAUUCCAGGUGUAGCGGUGAAAUGCGUAGAUAUCUGGAGGAACACCGGUGGCGAAAGCGGCUUUCUGGCGCAUAACUGACGCUGAGGCUCGAAAGCGUGGGGAGCGAACG
This 206-nucleotide ribosomal RNA is filed under the name uncultured bacterium. RNAcentral describes it as "partial 16S ribosomal RNA". It matches the Rfam family "Bacterial small subunit ribosomal RNA", at positions 568 to 774 of the family's 1533-position model. The record is from RNAcentral.